RNAcentral lists this ribosomal RNA (445 nucleotides) under uncultured bacterium. Its description in RNAcentral is "bacterial SSU rRNA". It matches the Rfam family "Bacterial small subunit ribosomal RNA", at positions 354 to 796 of the family's 1533-position model. The record is from RNAcentral.
GUGAGGAAUAUUGGUCAAUGGGCGAGAGCCUGAACCAGCCAAGUCGCGUGAAGGAAGACAGUCCUAAGGAUUGUAAACUUCUUUUAUACGGGAAUAACGGGCGAUACGAGUAUUGCAUUGAAUGUACCGUAAGAAUAAGCAUCGGCUAACUCCGUGCCAGCAGCCGCGGUAAUACGGAGGAUGCGAGCGUUAUCCGGAUUUAUUGGGUUUAAAGGGUGCGUAGGUUGUUCGGUAAGUCAGCGGUGAAACCUGAGCGCUCAACGUUCAGCCUGCCGUUGAAACUGCCGGGCUUGAGUUCAGUGGCGGCAGGCGGAAUUCGUGGUGUAGCGGUGAAAUGCAUAGAUAUCACGAGGAACUCCGAUUGCGAAGGCAGCUUGCCAUACUGCGACUGACACUGAAGCACGAAGGCGUGGGUAUCAAACAGGAUUAGAUACCCGGGUAGUCC